RNAcentral lists this unclassified non-coding RNA (247 nucleotides) under plant metagenome. RNAcentral describes it as "partial contains small subunit ribosomal RNA and internal transcribed spacer 1". The stretch from base 1 to 47 matches the Rfam family "Eukaryotic small subunit ribosomal RNA", at positions 1785 to 1831 of the family's 1831-position model. The record is from RNAcentral.
AAUGUCGUAACAAGGUUUCCGUAGGUGAACCUGCGGAAGGAUCAUUAAAUGAGAAAAUGGGCUUCGGUCCUGACCUCCAAGCCCUUUGUUUACCUUACCACUGUUGCCUCGGCGGGUCGUCGACGCCCUUUACGGGGACGCCGCCGUCGGGCCCUUCAAAUCGCUUUCGAGUGCCCAGCCGCCAGGGCCCAAAUCUAAAAUUUCUUUGUAAACCCAGUCUUUCUAAGAGUAAUUCAAUACUUCAAAA